UGGGGAAUCUUGGACAAUGGGCGAAAGCCUGAUCCAGCGACGCCGCGUGGGUGAUGAAGGCCUUCGGGUUGUAAAGCCCUUUCGACGGGGACGAUGAUGACGGUACCCGGCGAAGAAGCACCGGCUAACUCCGUGCCAGCAGCCGCGGUAAUACGGAGGGGGCUAGCGUUGUUCGGAAUUACUGGGCGUAAAGCGCACGUAGGCGGCUUUGCAAGUUAGAGGUGAAAGCCCGGGGCUCAACUCCGGAAUUGCCUUUAAAAACUGCAUCGCUAGAAUUGUGGAGAGGUAAAGUGGAAUUCCGAGUGUAGAGGUGAAAUUCGUAGAUAUUCGGAAGAACACCAGUGGCGAAGGCGACUUACUGGACACAUAUUUGACGCUGAGGUGCGAAAGCGUGGGGAGCAAACA
Molecule: ribosomal RNA, 405 nt
Filed under: uncultured Alphaproteobacteria bacterium
Lineage: Bacteria; Pseudomonadati; Pseudomonadota; Alphaproteobacteria
Description: bacterial SSU rRNA
Rfam family: Bacterial small subunit ribosomal RNA
Source: RNAcentral